This is a long non-coding RNA of Lingula anatina, 1824 nucleotides long. Lineage: Eukaryota; Metazoa; Brachiopoda; Lingulata; Lingulida; Lingulidae. The record is from RefSeq and is a predicted model, not a curated record.
AUUGGCGAGCGCCUAACCUGAUGGUCCACUUUUGCGAGUUAUAAGGAGAAAGUUACAUCAGCAUAUGGGAUUUCAAAAGCUCUUGUCUAGUUGUGAUACCACUGAGAUUUAGGACCCUUUAAGAUCUUCAUCAAUCUCGAUGUGGCACAAGUGGCGUUGUCACUGGUCUAGAAUACUAGGAGCUACUUAUCCCUCAGCCUCACUCUCAGUGCUGCGUACAGGCUACAUGUACGAAAGGGCAGUUUUCCAGAAAUAAUGCCCAAACUCAGAUACCAUCAAUCCUAGCCUAAAUGUCCAAGACGUGAAACACUUCAUGGCGUUAGCAACGAUCCCCUUUGGUCACUUUCAUUGAUGAUCGGACGUCCUAGUUGUCUUGGUUUUUAAGGACACAGCUUGUCUGCAAAUAAAUUUAGAGAAUGUGGAAUGGUUAUGAAGAGCGAUAUACUGAAUGUAAGAGGAAUGCAAACCAAUGAUGUACUCGAGUCUUUUGGAUAUGGAGGAUGUUUGCAAUUCAUAGGUCACAGAUAUGAGUCGGGUGUGAUUGCAUUUAGUACGUUUUAUAUUUUCACUUUUAUUGCAAUAGCUUACGAGAAAGCUGGAGUUCAAGAUGAUUAUUCAUAAUUCUAUUAAUGUACAAUUGAAUAAGAUGAAUUGUGGUUCUGUUUGAAAAGUCUGUCUGCCUCCACAGUUCUUAUAAUAAUUAUUUUAAAAAUUGAAAACGGAAUAUGCAGAUGCGUUAUCCACAUUUUAAAUUCACUCACAAAAUAUUGGUAUCACCACCACUUAUGGUCGUCUGUGUUUUAUUUCAAUCUUAGUGAUGUAGUCAUUUUUUCAAAUUUGUGCUGUUGAUGAUGUGGAGUUGUUCGUCAGUAUAGCGCUUGAGAAGAUCAUAAUCCGCACACUAAUCUCAACUAACCCUCACAUCUUUGUAAAAUCUGACUUCGUGUAAAUGAUUUUACAUGAAGAGGUUUUACAUUGAAAGCUUGUGCAAAAUCUAUAAUGAAAUAUUUUACGUUUGAGAAAAUAUUUCAUUAUAUUUUCUGUACAUUCUGCUCCUCGUGGGGGAUGGCUGGGUGCACACAGUCAUCUCUCAAGAUAGAGGAUCGCACUUUACUAAUAUCACUUAUAUUAUGAUUUUCUCCAGUGUUAUAGUUGACAAAUAAAUCUAAUUCAUCACAUAUGCACCUUUUUCUCAGGAUCGAAAAAUUCAUAUUGAAAUUUACAUGGACGGCCAUAAAGUGUAAUGUGAGAUAUGAAAUAUUUCGAAGCAAGCUUGCUUAACUUAUUACUUGUGUCAUACAGGCACAUGAAGUUGAGAUUGAAGGGCAAAAUCACAUUUGAGAAACUUAUUUUAAACCGAGUUAUGUCAAAGUUUAGUUUAAAUAAUUGAGGUGUCUUGGUAAUAAUAAUAUUACCUGAACUUUUUAUAUAUUUUAUCAGUAGAAAGAACUAUAUUCAAGUUUUGAUGGAUGCUUUCAGUUGUAAGUGUUGAGUCACUUUAUUUAUGACUUCAUCCCCUUAGAUAAAGUUAAAAUUAGUCUCGGUUAAAUUGUGUAAAGACUCUAGUGAAUGUGUCUUUAUUGUCUUCAGUACCUCUUUCUGUAGAAAUUAUUUUGGCAAAUUGUGCUUCAUCUUGUGUACCAGUAUAGUGUAUAUAGAGAAUAGUUUGUAGUCAUGAGAGAAAAUUUAUUCAGCUGCACCAUGCUGUCUAAAACGGGACGAUAUUCUUGAACUGCAAGGCGCCGUGCCAAUAGAAAAAAAAAAACUGAAGUUUUCUUUUUAUAAAGACUGAAAAAUCCGGGCGUGGGCACUUUCCCGGCAUUC